GAACGUAGCGAAAUGCGAUACUUGGUGUGAAUUGCAGAAUCCCGUGAACCAUCGAGUCUUUGAACGCAAGUUGCGCCCGAUGCCUUCAGGCUGAGGGCACGUCUGCUUGGGCGUCACGCAUCUCGUCAACACCUCCCACGUCGUGUUCUUCCCYACUCAAAG
Molecule: ribosomal RNA, 162 nt
Filed under: Primulina lutescens
Lineage: Eukaryota; Viridiplantae; Streptophyta; Magnoliopsida; Lamiales; Gesneriaceae
Description: 5.8S ribosomal RNA
Source: RNAcentral